This 459-nucleotide ribosomal RNA is filed under the name uncultured bacterium. RNAcentral describes it as "partial 16S ribosomal RNA". It matches the Rfam family "Bacterial small subunit ribosomal RNA", at positions 338 to 795 of the family's 1533-position model. The record is from RNAcentral.
CCUACGGGGGGCAGCAGUGAGGAAUAUUGGUCAAUGGGCGGAAGCCUGAACCAGCCAAGUCGCGUGAGGGAUUAAGGCCCUAUGGGUCGUAAACCUCUUUUGUCAGGGAACAAAGGCGGGGACGUGUCCCCGGAUGAGUGUACCUGAAGAAAAAGCAUCGGCUAACUCCGUGCCAGCAGCCGCGGUAAUACGGAGGAUGCGAGCGUUAUCCGGAUUUAUUGGGUUUAAAGGGUGCGCAGGCGGUCUGUUAAGUCAGCGGUCAAAGCCCGGGGCUCAACCCCGGCCCGCCGUUGAAACUGGCAGGCUCGAGUUGGAGAGAAGUAUGCGGAAUGCGCGGUGUAGCGGUGAAAUGCAUAGAUAUCGCGCAGAACUCCGAUUGCGAAGGCAGCAUGCCGGCUCCACACUGACGCUGAGGCACGAAAGCGUGGGUAUCGAACAGGAUUAGAUACCCGGGUAGUC